GAGAAGCAGUGUGAUAUAGUUUUCUGCCAAACCAGAAAUCAAGGCCUUGGACAUGCCUUUUCUCUGUUAGGGAUAGGGGUAGUGUAUGUUUUCUGACAGUUGCGCCUUUCAAGAUUAAUGAGUUUAUGAGAACUGUGUGUCUUCCUCCAAAAGCCGUCAGUGUUACCAGCAGCAUGAUAGUGCAGUCCUGACAUUGGAAUCCAAAAGACAGAAUGUGAACAGCUGUCGUCCCACCUGUGCAUAGCUGCACAGAGGCCAAGCAGCAGUGGCAUAAGCCAAGGACUAUGGUAUGUUUUAAUUGCUAUACAACAUACUGUAUCAACAUCAUAUGGUUAUAAUCACAUCAUAAUGCUAAGAAAUUAUUUAAUGAAAACUUAAAUCGUCUCAUGAAUAGAUUAAAAUAGUGCCCUUGUACUGUCUUUUUACAGGGUCUGAAACCUGGGCCCAUAGGCAAAAUGGCCAUCACCAAGCCCACCAAAAGCACAUGGCAAAAGGAGGGAUUAGGUGAGUAUUCCCUAAUAGCCAGUAUAGUAGGUAGUAGCUGGUCUUGUCCUAUAACACUUUAACUAUAUAAAAUGAUUUAAUUUCAGGUGGUUUCAAGUACAUUGUUUAGAUUGGCUAACCACAGUGGCUGCUUUGCAGAAGUACACUACAGCGCCCUUCUUGGAACGCUCCCUGACUUCUCAGUUCUCCAGAUAGAAGAGACAUACAAUAACUUUAACCCUCUAUCCAAGCCAUUGAUCUGCAACAUGGGGAAGUCUGCUGAAAAGCUUUUAGUCGACUCCCACUUUGGAAAGGUACAGGUGGGGAACCUCCUGUCUUACCAGCAGCCUCCAAUCCCAACGUGACACAUAGUUCACCAUAAGGAGAGCCCACCAUUCCCCUCACUGCCCCUAAAUGGCUACGGACUGAGGAGAGAAACUUUCAAAGCUGCACAUUUGUGUUCAGUGAAGAAGACCAGCUUCACAUAGUCUCUUCGGGUGAGCUUCGCAACAGCCCAUAAAAUAGAGGAAGCUGCUAGAAAACAGAGUGCUGUCUCUGACUGGCAGGUGCUCUGGAAACCAAGACUGACCACGUCACGGUUCCGAGAGGCUUGCCAUGAGAGAGGGCUGACAUCCGCAGGCAAUCUAGCUGAAAGGAUCCUCUAAGACACAGCACCAAAACCUGACAUGAAGAGAGGACUGGAGUUGGAGAUGGAAGCAGCCAAUGACUACUUGAAGAUGC
This 1224-nucleotide long non-coding RNA is filed under the name Salmo salar (Atlantic salmon). RNAcentral's name for it is "lncRNA (ENSSSAG00000089383.1, ENSSSAG00000110818.1)". Lineage: Eukaryota; Metazoa; Chordata; Actinopteri; Salmoniformes; Salmonidae. The record is from RNAcentral.